CCCUCCUUGGCCUCCCAAAGUGCUGGGAUUACAGGAAUAAACCACCAUGCCCAGCCUGGUAUUUUAUUUAGAAUGUGUGCAUCUAUCAUAAGUGGUAUUGGUCUCGUGUGGGUAUGCCUGCAGCCAGGUAUCUGCCAGAUGUGCUGGUGCCGGGCUUGUUUUGACAUCAAGAAAUGAGCCGGAAAGCCUUCUUUCGUUUUCUGUGUGCUGGUGUGGUUGUCAAGUGUGAACUAUUCGUAAUAACGACUUAAACUGGCCUCACUGAGCGUGUGCAAAGACAGCUCAUCAAAGGAACAAUUAGAACUACUGCUUAGGGGUAGUAUUUUGCACGGAUGGACAGAUCAUUUUGCUUCCAGAUGUUUGCCAAGCAAAACAGAUUGUGUCUCUGCCUUCCCCUCUGUCGUAGAGGGUCCGCGCCACUGGCCUCAUCGCUGGCUUGUGGGAAUUUUGCAGGAUCCUGCAGCGUGUGUCCAUGCCAUCCCUCCUGAGCUGUCUCCUUCAGCAGCACAGCCUGGAAGGUGGAGGAGAAUGCAGGGUGGAUAGAGAAGGGCCUCAAUUCAGUUCCUUCGAAUUGCUUCAUUUGCCAGGACUGAGGGAAAGUUGCAUCUGUGCCCGCCGGAUGGCCUAGACAUCGUGAACUGCGGGGUGACGGGAAUAAAUGGAGAAAGGAAUCAGAACCCCAGGGGACUUGUGACAGCCCCUCUCUUUUCAGCUAGAGCCUGACAAUCUAUACUUUAGCAUAUAACACGACAAAUGUAUAUAAGAGAAAAUGAGGAAGUGUAAUUCCAUGCAAUAAACACUGAACACUGUUCAUUUCAGUA
This is a long non-coding RNA of Cebus imitator (Panamanian white-faced capuchin), 821 nucleotides long. RefSeq lists it as uncharacterized. The transcript is spliced from 2 exons. The record is from RefSeq and is a predicted model, not a curated record. Lineage: Eukaryota; Metazoa; Chordata; Mammalia; Primates; Cebidae.